Molecule: long non-coding RNA, 282 nt
Filed under: Drosophila guanche
Lineage: Eukaryota; Metazoa; Arthropoda; Insecta; Diptera; Drosophilidae
Source: RNAcentral
CUCUGACUUAGCAACUCUAAAUGUAACUCCCAAUUUCUCUCAGUGCCCGACUCCUCUGGCCCCUCGUACGAGUGCAUGCGACUUAAUUACGCGUGCCAAGCCGAGCGGCUUUUGUUAUUAUCAUUCAGUCAGCCGGUUACCGGUUCCACUAACCACCGUGCCCUCUGCACCCGUCUCUACGCCAGCUUUCGACCACCUCCCGUGGUAUCCUUUGGUCCUCCUUUGUUGCCCUCUGCCCAUUGAUGAUAAUGUUUGAGCGUCGACGCUGAGCAUUGGCUGCGC